Molecule: ribosomal RNA, 305 nt
Filed under: uncultured bacterium
Lineage: Bacteria
Description: bacterial SSU rRNA
Rfam family: Bacterial small subunit ribosomal RNA
Source: RNAcentral
UUCUCCUACGGGGCGCAGCAGUGAGGAAUAUUGGUCAAUGGGCGCGAGCCUGAACCAGCCAAGUCGCGUGAGGGAGGACGGCCCCACGGGUCGUAAACCUCUUUUGCCGGGGAGCAAGGGCGGGGACGUGUCCCGGCCCGGAGAGUACCCGGAGAAAAAGCAUCGGCUAACUCCGUGCCAGCAGCCGCGGUAAUACGUAGGUGGCAAGCGUUAUCCGGAUUUACUGGGUGUAAAGGGCGUGUAGGCGGGAAAGCAAGUCAGAUGUGAAAACCAUGGGCUCAACCUGUGGCCUGCAUUUGAAACUG